UGGUGGCGAUGCGUUCAGGGGUAACACCCGUUCCCAUCCCGAACACGAUGGUUAAGACCUGAACGGCCGAUGGUACUGCACUGGAGACGGUGU
This 93-nucleotide ribosomal RNA is filed under the name Lachnospiraceae bacterium 3_1_46FAA. Lineage: Bacteria; Bacillati; Bacillota; Clostridia; Lachnospirales; Lachnospiraceae. The record is from RNAcentral.